UUAACUUCAGAAAUCUCCAUCUGUUCUGUGUUUUAGUUGAGAUGUGAUGGGGAACAUUGGCGAUGCUCUUUGAUCAUUACAUUACAAUAUGCCUUACUACUCUGACAGUUAGAUGACAUUUACAAGGACAAAUUGAUCAUGCAGUUUUAACCUGGUGAAAUAGAAUAUUUUUUAAUAUCAAAUAUCUUUGAUAUAUCUGAAAUAUAGCUUUGAGUCCUAAAAAUGGCAAAUUGCAAUUUAACCAGUUAACCAUACCUCACCAAUGUGAUCUCACCCUAUAUAUAUCAUACUGCUGUGUUUCUAUGGUGUUUUUUACUUGGGCAAUCCGGAAUGAAAAGGAAGGAUCUGCAGGACCUGAAGGAAUCAGCCUGUGACCUGACAGAGAUAGAGCCAACCAACUCAUUGUGCUCAACAAUGACAGCCAUGAGAACCUGAGUGCCUUCCUGGGGCCUGCUCUACACUGAGAAACGGCAGUGGCAACAAGCCAUGUCCGACUUUGAAGCGGGAUCAAACUCGACAGCGCUGGCCCCAGUGAACCUGGCUUGCUGAAGGUUGGGAAAAUAUCCUCAGUGGUUGGUGGAUACCCACAUUUUACCAGCCCCUCCUAUUUUGUUCCAGGCCCAUUUCUCUUCUAUGCUGUACCCCACCCCGCUUUCACCUCUAGCGUUCAGAUUGUUUCUUCUAGAGCUGAAACACACUAAAAUAAAUAUGAAUGUACCAGCCAAUGCCAAAAUCUACCAGCAUUUGGCAAGUGGCUGGUGUUC
This is a long non-coding RNA of Oncorhynchus tshawytscha (Chinook salmon), 764 nucleotides long. The record is from Ensembl. NCBI's taxonomy places the organism in Eukaryota, Metazoa, Chordata, Actinopteri, Salmoniformes, Salmonidae.